Small nuclear RNA from Grammomys surdaster, 108 nucleotides. NCBI's taxonomy places the organism in Eukaryota, Metazoa, Chordata, Mammalia, Rodentia, Muridae. The record is from RefSeq and is a predicted model, not a curated record.
GUGAUCAUUUUGGCAGUACAUAUACUAAAACUGGAACAAUAGAGAGAUGAUUAGCAAGGCCUCUCUGCACACGGAUGACGUGAGAUUCAGGAAGCCAGCCAUGUUUUC